Long non-coding RNA from Vigna umbellata (rice bean), 956 nucleotides. RefSeq lists it as uncharacterized. Lineage: Eukaryota; Viridiplantae; Streptophyta; Magnoliopsida; Fabales; Fabaceae. The record is from RefSeq and is a predicted model, not a curated record.
AGACUCUCAGUAACAUCCUAAAUUAUUACUAUACUAAAAGCACAUAUUAUGAGAGUUAUUUAGUUAAAUUAUUAUUUUUUUAAAAAUACUUUUAUGUGUCAUUAAAUUUUGAGCUGUGCAAAAUUAUGGAAAUUUUGGUAUAUUAGCCUAUAUUUGUUAUGAGUUGUUUAGUAUUUGCGUUAAAUAUGUGAGUUAAACAAUAAAAACUUCCAUUAAAUGAAAAUUAAUUGAACUUGUUAAAAUUAAGAUGAACUGAUUAUGUGAAGAACAACAUUGAAGAUGAAUCAUUCACCAAUCAGAUUCCGAAAUUCUAAAGAUGUAGUUAUUGAGUAACAACCUUUCACUAAAAGUAUUUUCAACGAGAAUGUGAUGUAGAAGAUGGUUUGAAAGUUAGGUUAAAAUUAAUUGGAAGAUUAGUUGGGAGAAAGUGAACAAAUGUAUAAUAUAUAUACACAUAUGCUUCCAUGCUAAGUUAAUUUCAUGAGCUGUGUCCUAUAAAUUUCCAAGGAACUCAAACUUCGUAUAUAUCUUUUUCCUUCUUUUUCUUUUUUCAGGAACUCACAUAUUCUCAAAAGACAAAAAUCGUUGCUUAAAAUGGGACCAGGCGGCCCAGGCCCAGGCGGCCCAGGCCCAGGCGGCCCGCCAGGUUGGGGUUCACCCGGCCCACCGGGGCCGGGUUUUUUCGGUGGGUUUUGCGAUCUCGUUAACUCUUGUUUGAGCUUUUUGUGCUGCUGCUGGUUACUACAGGACUGCUUUGGGGGUCCAUCUGGCCCACCUGGAGGCCCAUUCCGCCCACAUGGGCCUCCAUGAGUUUCUAAGUUGCCAUGGUUUCCAAUGUAUGUAUAUGACGUUCUAUAUGUUAUGUAAUUAAUUAUCAAUCAGAACUCUGCUAAUCUCUGUUUGAUGUAAUAAUACAUUCCUGGCACGGUCGAAGGUUGAAGAAUAAUUUAUUGUAA